CGCUUCUGAAAGCAGCUCAAGAGGCAAAGCUCCAAGUCGUUGGCGUCUCAUUUCAUAUUGGGAGCAGAGCAAUUAACUUCCAUGCAUUCGAAGAUGCCAUUGGAGCAGCCAAAGCAACGUUCGACACUGCAGCUCAACUUGGGCUACCUAAAAUGCAUAUCUUAGACAUCGGUGGAGGCUUCACAUCAGGUCCAAAGUUUACCGAUGCAGCCUCCGCCGUGAAAGUUGCUUUACAAAAAUAUUUCCCCGAUGAGCUAGCUGAUGGUAACUUAAAGAUCAUUGCGGAACCUGGUCGCUUCUUUGCUAAUUCGCCAUUUACAUUAACAACAAGCGUAAUAGGGAAACGAGAAAGGGCGGAGGUUAAGGAGUACUGGAUUAGCGAUGGGAUUUCGGGGUCGAUGAAUUUUUUGAAGUACGAUCACAAUGAAGUGAUUUGCACUCCUCUCAUCAUGAAAAACCCUACAUGCAAAGAAUUGAAAACAUGGAGUUCCACUGUUUUUGGACCGACAUGCGAUGCAGCUGAUACGGUUUUGAAGGGUUUUGAAUUGCCAGAAUUGGACGUGAAUGAUUGGCUGGUCUUUCACAACAUGGGUGCUUAUACUUCAUCCCGUGGGAAUGAUUUCAACGGGUUCAAAACUUCGGCCAUUCCAACUAUUGCCUAUGAAAAUUAAUGGUCGCCAUAUGGUCACCGUUAGAAGAAGCAAAUAAAUGUGUUUUCCUCGUGGUGUUUAAAUUCUCGUAUGGUUGUUUUUGUUGUUUUCUGAUGAGUGGUCUGUUUUCUUUUGUUAAUGUGAUGCUCUGAUUGCUAUGUUUGUGAGCCUCAUGUUUAUAAUAAAACUUUUAUUUGCUGAAGAAAAUAGCUUGUGAAAUUAUGCUGUUGCAGUCCACUUCAUGGAUAAUUUAGUUUCCUUUGAGCUGGUGAUUGGACAUUGCACAGUGGAACGCCAACUCCUUUGAGCAGCGGUGCUGGACAUUGCUUCAAAGUAGAGUAAUUAAAAACUGUUUUAGAAGACAAGGAGCUUAGAUCAUAUUCAGAGAGCAUUGCUUGUAUAGUGAUAAAAAAAAUAAACCAUAUAUACACACCAUAUAGCUGACAGAAUAUUUUGUACAGAAAUGACAGAUAUUGUACAGAAAUGUCAGUUGGAUGAAACUUUCCCAAUGUAAAAAAUCUCAAAUUUUCUUUCUAAAGUUCACAAAUUGGUAUAUAUAUUAAAUUUUAUCACAACAAAAAAAAAUUGUAUACUAAAAUAUUUAAUGAUAGAUAUAAGGGUGGUGAUCAGUGGCGAAGCCAACAAUUUUUUUGGGACCGAAAUUAAAUUGUAUAUUUUUACGAUAGUAAAAUAUAAUUUCACCGUUUCAAUAAUCUAUAUCUUUAUAAUUUUUAAAAGACUAAAUCAAAUUUUUAUUAUUUUUUGGGGGGCAAAGUGCACUUUUACUAUUAUUAAUUUAAAUUUUUAUAAAUUAUAAAAUGCCUAAAUAAAAAAAAAUUUAUUUUAGGGAGUCGGGUCACUGCCAACCCUUGGUGAUAAUGCAUUUACAUUUUAAUACUAUUAAACAUGAACUUUAAAUUUAUAAUUCUAAAUUCUUUUAUUUAAAGAUAGUAUAAAAAAUUUAUGAAAAGAAAAAGUAUAAUAAUAUUUUUUUUCGGGGUAAAGAAAACAAAAAUAUUACUACUUCAAAUAAUCUUUUUCAAAAUGCAGUCAACAUCUUUAUUCCCCUCACGGUCCAAUCUUUUUUAAGAGUUGAUGAAUCUACAUAAUCAGAACAUGAAAAAAUCUUAAAUAACCUUCGUAACAUGUGAAUCAACAGACUCUGCAGAAUGUUCAGACUAUCAAAUAUUCCUCAUAAUUCGACAUAUAAAAUUGAGCACUUCUCCAAGCAGCCUAAAAUCUACUUUCCUUCGCCCUUACUGGUUGCCAAUGCCACAUAUUACUUAGCCUAACUGUAAGUGAUUUUUGAUAAUCUAAAGAUCCCAGAAUAAGUGGAUAAAUAAUUCCUCCUAUUUUUAAAAUAAAAAUAAGUGGUGAUCGCUAGUCUGAAAUAUGGCUUCUUUCGUUUUCCACCAUAAUAAUUAUAACAAUAAUUGGGGAAAUGAUGGCCUUUACAGUAAGAUUCAGCAAUCAAGUCCUAUUUUUAAAAUAAUACUAACAACUGGGCUACAAACAUCUCUUUAUAGAUUUGACAAGUGAUUGACAACACUGACAUGGGAUACUCAAAUCUGGAUUUUUUACCUCAAUAUAUUAAAAAAGUUUAAAUACGUAAAUAGGCUAAAAAGGUAUUUUUUUAAUCGUACCUGUUUGAUAGGCACGAAUUAAUUUUUUAUAUUAAAAUUUUUUUAAUCACGUCUAUCUGACAGGCGCGAAUUAUUUUUUAUAUUAAAAUUUUUUUAACCGCGCCUAUCUAUAGGUGUGAAUUAAUUUUUUAUAUUAAAUUUUUUUCGUUUAAUAAAAAUUAUUUUUUUUUUCCGGAUCAAUAUAUAACCCGAGUAUAGAUACGAAAUAUUAUUAAUCCGUAUGUUUUUAUGUUUAGAUAGUGGGUCUUUUACAAAAAUAAUACAAAAAAAUAAAAAAAUCAAAAUAAUAUAUAUAUUUUUAUUUACCAAAAUGAUACAAAAAAACGAAACAGUAGAAAAUGGGAUGCCACAGGCGGCACCACUUGUAUUAUAAGUCCAGCAUUCGUCCAGUUGAAGGAGAAGAAGAAGGAGGAGGAGGAGGAGGAGGAGGAGGAGGAGGUGGUGCCGAAAAAAGAGAGAAAGAGAAGAAAAAAAUAGAAAAAAUAAGGUAUUUUUUUAAAAGAAUAAUGGAUUAUCUUGUUAUUAUGUUUUUUUUAUAAUUUUUAUUAUUUUUUGUUGUUAGUUUAGUUAUUAUUGUUAGUUAUUAAGAUUAAUAAAAACUCAAAUUGGUGGUUUUAGUUAGUAUUAUUAUUGUUAGUUUUUAUAGGGUUUAGUUAUUAAUAUUAUUUUUACUUAGUAUUAUUGUUAGUAAAAAACUACUAUUAUUAUGAUUAGUUAUUAGGAUUAGUAAAAACCCUAAUUAUUAUUUUAGUUAGUAUGAUUGUUAGUUUUUACAUUAUAUUAUUGUUAGUUAUUAUUUUAGUAAAACCCUAAUUAUUAUUGUUAGUUAGUAUUAUUUUGAGUAAAAAACUAUUAUUAUUGUUAUUGUGUUAGUUAUUAGGAUUAGUGGUUAAACGUUGUUCAUGUACAAAAUGAUAACUGAAGAAGUAUGAGCUUAAGAAUGAAAAAAUUGCAUAUUGAAACAUUAAUUUUUUUUAUUUAAGUAAAUUAUUUACUGUUCGAGAGUGUUUUUUGAGAUUUUGUUUAUUUUUUGACAGAUUGAAUAUUGAAGAUGGAUGAUAAGUUUUUUAUAUGCGUUUAUUUCGAUGGAACCAUCUUGACAACAAUUGUUGGAUGUAUAUUUGAAUGUCGGCAACAAAAUAGCAAUGGGAUUUAAUAGAAAUGUCUCGUUGGAUGAUAUGAAGGGAAUGAUUAAUGCAAAAAUUGUUAGACGUUGUGGGAGAAGGAUAUCAAAAAUUUUCUACAAGUUUCCAGUUUUGACAAAUCUGAUCAAAUUCACCGAAAUGGAACUUGUAGACGACGAAGACGAGGAGACAAUGAUCGCUCUUUACUGUGGGAAUGGGAGUGACAAGAAUGCACCGAUUCACUUAUUUGCUGAGUUAGUCGGUAUGGAGCAAAAUGAAGAUGUCAAUGCAUAUGGUGAAGAACACGGAGCUCAAGAACCGUGGAUGGUGGCUCCAAUAUCGUACGUUGAUAGUGAAUCGACUAUAGGUGGGAUUGGUAUCGAUCUGAAUAUUACAACCGAUAUUGAUGUGGUUGGUGGUGAAGAAGGAGGUGGUAGCGAUCAUUGUGAUGAAGAUGUCGAUAGUGACGGUGAUCCUGAUGUGGACGAUGUACCUGAUGAUAUUGACGAUGAAAGCAGUAAUAACGAUGAAAAUGUUAACGUUUCUUCGAUCGGGAACCAGAUGCGAUGCAUUUUGAUACACAAUAAUCCUGGGCCAUACAUGUCGCUCAUAGACCCCGACGCAACGUAUGUAGCUGAGUUCCCGGAGUACCUUGAAAUAGUUUAUCCUCACCAGCUGUCCGUAAAUUCUGAUCAUGAUGAGUUAUUCGUAGGCCAGAGAUUCGAAAGUAAAGAAGAGUGCGUACUUGCUAUUAAACGGUAUUGCAUGAACAUAUCAGUGGAUUAUAAAGUCACACUGUCUAAUCCGACAAUAUAUAUUGGGGAGUGUUGGAAGGCAGUGAAAGGCUGCAAUUGGCGGGUACGAGUUGCAUUCAUUAAAAGUUCGCAGAUGUAGGAGAUACGAAAAUUUGUUGGUCCUCAUACAUGCACAUCAACACGUAUGACAGAAGAUCAUGGAAAACUUGAUUCGAAAACUAUCUGUAUGUGUAUAAUGCCAAUGGUGAAUGACAUGCCGACCAUUAAAGUUUCGGUACUGAUUGCCAAAAUGCAAGCACGAUUCCAGUAUCGAGUAUCAUAUCGAAAGGCAUGGAUAGCUAAACAGAUGGUAAUGGAGCAAUUGUAUGGGGAUUAUGAUUCAUCGUAUAACGAGCUACAAGAAUGAAUAGCUGCUAUGCGGGAGUAUGUAUCGGGGAUUGUGAUUGAGUUAUAGACAAGACCUUAUUACGGCUCGAACGACCAGUUAUAGUCGGGAAAAAGGAUUUUCCUUCGGAUGUUCUGGACGUUUGAUCCAUGUGUGCGGGCAUUUCCCUACUGCAAGCCAUUUGUGCAGGUGGAUGGGACCUGGCUAUAUGGAAAAUAUACACAGAUCCUACUUCUUGCGGUUGCUCAAGACGGCAAUAGAAAAGUGCUUUCGAUAGCAUUUGCCAUCGUAAAUAAAGAGAACUUGGAAUCUUGGGAAUUCUUCCUCACUAACCUGGGGAGGUAUGUUAUUAGCAACGAUAAUAUUUGCAUUAUCUCCGAUAGAGGGAAAUGUUUAAUUGCAACAAUUAGGCGUUUCGGUGUGCCAUGGAGAUCCGUUUACUGCACCCGUCACAUUGCGUCUAACUUCCAUAAAUAUUAUAAGAAUGCAGACUGGAAGAGACAAGUCGUGGCAAUGGGUAAAUGAUAACCUUAUCUUUUCAAUAUAAGUUGUAAUGUUUUAUGUUAUCUAGUUACUGGAACUUAUCUUUUCUUAAUACGUAUACAACGUACGAGUUAGAGCAACAUAUUUUUCACCAAAGAAUGAUUCGACUUGGGAGUGACAUGGAGGGACAAACAAACACAUCUUUUCGACAAUUAUUGGGUACAAUGGAGCCACGGCAGUGGACUCAAAGUUUUGACGAGGGCUUUUGUUAUGGUCAAAUGACCACAAACUUAGUGGAAGGGGUCAACGCUGUGUUGUUAAAAACACGUCAUCCUCCGAUUGCAUUUGUCUUCUCUGCUACAUUCUACAGGUUGGCUACCUUGAUGCCAAGAAUGGGUCAGUAACAAGUCGACCAGAUGGAGGCGGGAUACGUGUUUGUCGAAGAUGUCAAUGAUGCAAUGGUUGCAAACCGUUGGAUGGCGAGGUCGAUGAGUGUAGAAAUAUAUUCAUGACGUCUGGAAACGUUUUGAGUUAGUGAGACCAUCGGUCGUCGACCCGGUAUACCACCUAGAUCCUAUGGAGUUGAUAUCCGGAACAAAUGGUGCGAGUGUAGGAGGUUCGAAACACUUCAUUAUUCACAUGCACAUGUCGUGGCAGCGUGUGCUAAAGUGAACCUUAAUGUUGAACAAUAUGUCGAUGAUGUGUACAUGCUCGAGCGCACAUUGCGUGUCUAGGAAAAUGAGUUCCCCGUCCUGCCUGACCUGUCUACGUGGGAGGUGCCUUCGCGACUUUCGUGCUUCUCUCAGACAGAGGGCUACGCAGGAAUCCAUUCACUCGGCCCCUUAUUACUCGGUAUGAGCCCUGAUAGUGUUAAACGUGGAGAAAAAAAUAUUAGGAUAACAUGAUUUAUUUCUAUAUAUUACGUAUAUCAUUUUUUAAUAGAACCCGUGAUUAACAAAUAAUAAUAUCUUACCAUGUUAUUAGCCGCAUCAGAUAUGUGAGUAUCACUGUUAAUCAAUGAAGCCAUUGUGAUGCAUGCAACUUCAAAAAAAAUUUAGUAAAAAACCCUUAUUUCGACGAUUUGUUCGUAUUUUUUCCCUGAAUUUUAUUACUUUAAAAAAAUAUACUAUUUUAUAAUUUUAUUAUUUUACAUUAUUUGAGUACAUUAUGUUUGAAAUUUAUUAAUUUAGUGUGUUUUUUUAAAUAAAUUUAGAAAAAUAACCCUUAUUUCGGCCCUUUGCUCGUAUUUUUUUCCCGGAUUUUAUUACUUUCAAUAAAAAUAUAUUAUUUUUAUUAUUUUAUUAUUUUAUAUUAUUUUAGUACAUUAUGUUUAAAAUAGAUUAAUUAAUUCUGUUUUUUAAAAAUAUUUAGUAAAAAACCCUUAUUUCGCCCAUUUGUUCGUAUUUUCUCCUCGGAUUUUAUUACUUUAAAAAAAUAUACUAUUACUAAUUUUAUUAUUUUACAUUAUUUUAGUACAUUAUGUUUGAAAUUUAUUAAUUUAGUGUGUUUUUAAAUAAAUUUAAUAAAAAAUCCUUAUUUCGGUCAUUUGCUCGUAUUUUUUCCCGAAUUUUAUUACUGUCAAUAAAAAUAUAUUAUUUUUGUAUUUUAUUAUUUUACAUUAUUUUAGUACAUUAUAUUUGAAAUGUAUUAAUUAAUUCUGUUUUUUUAAAUUUAGUAAAAAACUUUUACUUCGGCCCUUUGUUCGUAUUUUUUCUCCGAAUUUUAUUACUUUAAAAAAUAUACUAUUUUCUAAUUUUAUUAUUUUACAUUAUUUAGUACAUUAUGUCUGAAAUUUAUUAAUUUAGUGUGUUUUUGAAAUAAAUUUUAAAAAAUAACCCUUAUUUCGCCCAUUUAUUCGUAUUUUUUCCUGAAUUUUAUUACUUUAAAUAAAAGUAUAUAUAUUUAUUUUGUUAUUUUACAUUUUUUUUGGAUUUUAUUUUCGGUGAAUAUACAAUUUUUAUUUUUUUCUUUUCAUAUUUUAUGUUUUCUUAAACAUAUUUUUUAUCAUUUUAUUUUUAAUGCUAUUUUUGUAAAAAAACUAAUUACAACAUGCUAAAUAAAUUUCAUAAAAAAAUUCUAAUCAACAUUGAUUUUUUCAUGCUAAAUAAAUUUUAUAAAAUAUAUAUGCUAAAUAAAAUAAUAAAACACAUACAAUGUACAUAACAUAGAUUUCUUACACAAAUAUUACAAAAAAUUAAAUUAAUACAAAAAAAUUACCUUUACUUCUUUUUUUCUUUAUUUUUCCUUCCUUCCCUCUUCUUGUUCUCCUUUCCUUUUCUUUCUUUCUUUUUCUUUCUCUCCUUUCCUUUUCUUUCCUUUUCUUUCUUAAUUUCUUUCUUCUCCUUUCCUUCUCCACCCCACCAGCCGAAUAGUCCCCCCAUUAUAAGGCGGUGGUGCUGCCUAUGGCAGACCCUCCACUAGGGUGUUGUCACAUCCUCCAGCAGCUUUUUUUUAACUUUUAUGUUUUUUUUGUAUCAUUUUGGUAAAUAAAAAAAUAUAUUAUUUUGGUAUUUUUUUUAUUUUUGUAUUAUUUUUGUAAAAGACCCUUAGAUAGUUUAUAUUAAUUUUAAUUAUAUUAUUAUUGUAAUCUAACAUAAUUUUUUUAUUGUAGGUAAAUUAUGGGAAAUUAUUAGAUAUUUACUGUGUUUUGUUUCUGAAAUUUGAAAUAAUUUAUUGUAUUUUUUAAAACAAAUUAAAUGAAUUCAUUAUUUUAAUUACAGAUUUGCAGCAAAUGGGUUCUUUGAUUAAUAAUAAUCACAUAUCAAGUACUAUUAAUGAAAUGGUAAUAAAAUUUUUAUUUGAUACUCAUGUUAUUUGCUGAAUUAAAUUAAAUUAUAUUAACUAUUUUGCUACACCCAGGUUAUAUACUGAUCCAGGAAAAAAAUUAAUAAUAUUUUAUUAAACAAAAAAAUUUAAUAUAAAAAAUUGAUUCGCGCCUGUUAGAUAGGCGCGAUUAAAAAAAUUAAUAUAAAAAAUUGAUUUGCGCUUGUUAGAUAGACGCGAUUAAAAAAAAACAUACCAUUUCAGUAAUUAAUAUAGCUGACAACCUAUUUACGUAUUUAAAUUUUUUUAAUAUAUUUGGGUAAAAAACCCCUAAAAUCUUAAUAAUUUUAAUAUGACGAGUAAUUUAAUUUAAAAAUCAAAAUACUUGCACACUUGUCAACUUAUAAUUGGUUAACUCUGACAUGGAGUAUCAUAAAUAAUUAUUUUAGUUUUAAAUUUUUGAACACCAAGAAGUAAGAUAAGAAUGUUUGAGUGAGAAGGUAAAUAGAAUUCCUACUGGUUGUGCCCCUAAAUCUUAAAAAUGAGUAAGAUGAGUAAAAUUCAAUUCGUUAAAAAAAAUUGAAUUUUAAAUUUUGAAUUAUUCGAAUUAAGUUAAUCGAGUCAAUUUGAAGAAAUCAAAUACUAAACUAUAUUAUUUUAAAAUUUAAAUUUAAAUUAUUAUUUAAGUUUUAGGUAAACGACGUCGUUUUAUUUUUCAGAUUUUAGAGAUAUUAGUGCCGCAUAGCUAUAAACGCCGCAAAAUUCAAUAAUUAGCGGCGCUUUUACGUUACGUCGCAAAAUUUUUAAGCCAACGGCAUCAUUUUGUUGUUAAGGUUUAGUUACAUUAGUGGCGCAACUUUAAAAACGCCGCAGAUGUCAAGCAUUAGCGGCGCGUUAUGUUAAGCGCCGCAAAUAUAUUUAAGUAAAUGGCGUCGUUUUGUUGUGGAGGUUUAGAGACAUUAGUGGCGCUUUAUUGUGAGUGCCACAAGUAAAAAUAAAUUUAUUUUAGGUUUAAGUGUUUAGUAUUUAAGGUUUAAUUUUUAUAGUUUAGGGUUUUAGGAUUUAUGAAAUAAUGUUUAUUAUAUUGGGAUUAGAGUUUUAAGUUUAAAGUUCAUGAUUUACCGUUCGUGGUUUAUGGUUUAGUGUUUAGUGGUUAGGAGCAAAAGGUUUAGGGGUUAUGGGCUUAGGGUCUAAGUGGUAGUGGCUUAGGGUUUUGGGUUUAAGGGUUUAUAGGUUAGGGGUUUAGGGGCUUAUAGUGUUUAGUGGUUUAGGGUUUAGGGUAUAAGGUUUAAGAUUUAUGAUUUGAGGGUUUAUAAUUUAUGAUUUACGAUUUUAAGGUUAAUUUAGGGUUUAUAGCUUAGAGUGCAUGUUUAGGGUAUAAAGUUUAAGGUUUAUGGUUGAGUGUUAAGAGUUUAGUGUUUACGAUUUAUGGUGUAGGUUUAUGGUCUAGUGUUUAUUGUUUAGGGUUUAAGAGGUUAAAGUUUAAAGGUUACGGGUUUAGAGUCUAAGGGUUAGGGGCUUAUGGUUUAGGGUUUAAAUUUUAUUUUUCCAUAUUUAAGGGUUAUGCUAAAAACAUAGAAAAAUAUAUGUUAAAAAUAGAAAAAAAUAAAAUAGUAUUAUUUAAAAUAAUUUGAAAAUAAUUUUAAGUUUGACCAGUAGUGGCGUUUUUCGUGAAAACGCCACAAAUAUUCAUUGAAAGAUAGCAAAACGGUUUCGUUUUGUCUAAUUUUUUAGUGGCAUUUUUACUAAAAUGCCGCAAAAAGAGUUAUAUUAGUGGCGUUUCUACGAAAAACGCCGCAAUUAUGUUUUUUUGUCUUUGUUAAACGCUGUCGUUUUUAUCUACGUUUUCAGUGGCGUUUUUGCCAAAACGCCGCAAAAUGAUGUGUUAGUGGCGUUUUCAGGUAACGCCGCAAUUAUGUUAUUAGCCUUUUGUAAACGUUGUCGUUUUUAUCUACAUUAUUAGUGGCAUUUUUACAAAAACGCCGCAAAAGGUUAUGUGGUAGUGGCGUUUUUAUAAAAAUGCCGCAAUUAUGUUAUAAGUGUUUGCUAAACGUUGUCGUUUUUAUCUACGUUUUUAGUGGCGUUUGUACUAAAACGCCGGUAAAGGAUAUGUUUUAGUGGCGUUUUUAUUAUAAACACCGCAAUUAUGUUUUAAGUGUUUGCUAAACGUUGUCGUUUUCUAUCUGGGAUUUUUUAAUGCGUUAGUGGCGCUAUUGAUAAACGCCGCAAAUUUUAAUUGAACUAACUUAAACGACGUCGUUUGUUUAGCGCUGAAUUUCCUUAGUUCUCCCCCACUCAGAUUUCCCCAAUUUCAUUUCCCUAUUUCCCAUUUCCUAUCCCCCCAACUUCCCCGAUUUCAUUUCCCCCCAAUUCCUUUUCCCCCAAUUUCCCCGAUUUCAUUUCCCCAAAUCCCCAAAUUCCCAAAUUCCCCCUGUCAUUGCAGUUGUCUCCACUCCGGCGGUCGCUCUGCCACCCGCUUUCUCUGUCGUCCGCUUCUUCUAUUCACUGUAAGUUUCCUUGUUUCAACAUUGCAUGAUUUUUUGUUAUUUGUUUCGAUUAAGGUUAUAUUUCUUUCGAUUAAAGCCCUUUAUUUCGUUAUUUCUUACCUUGUUGAAUCGGGGUUUUUUUUCGAUAUUAAUCUUUUGGAUUAUUUUGGUGAAGGUCACAGACCAACUAAUCUAUUGGAGGAUUAAGGCUUGGGGAGUUGUUGAUCUUCUGUAAGGGUAAGUUACUGAUUUGGGGGUUUAAACUAUGACUUUGCUUUAAACUUUUGACUUCAUAGACAAGAAGAUUAGGGGAUUUGACUUUGCUUUAAACUUGGCAAUCGCCAAUUGCAUCUAUGCAUUUAAAUCAAUGCUGCGUAUUUUAUACAUUGGGUUUUCUCGUAUUUAUUAGUUUUUUUUUUUGCUUUGAUAUUGGUUGGUGAUCCUGGAAUUAAAAAAAAAUUAUUCUCUGUGUUUAGGGUUUUUGGUCUUUGACUGUUUUGUUCAUCCUCCUGAAGGUACUGUAAUGCUUCGAUUGUUCAUUUAUUUUGGGAAUGGUUUCAUUGGUUAGGAACUGAUGUUAUGUUGUUUGUGUAUAAGGUUUCAUUUCAUUGCUUUCAUUUCAGUUUUCUUCAUCGUUCUGAAGGUACAGAACUCAUGCUUUCAUUUAAUUGCAUUGCUUUCAUUAUCAAUGUAACGGGUUAAAUGUUAAGAUUCCAUUUAUUCUUUGUUGGUGUCGGUGAAAUCAUUUGGUACUGUUUUUUUAGUAUGAAAUUUUGAUGUCUAGUUUAGGGUUUAAUUUAUUAAUUUAUAAAAAUGUUCUGUUAAAUAUAAUAACAGCCGAUUACAUUUCCAGUUAAUGAAUUGGAUUUUUAAGUUGAAUUUUAUUACGCCAUGUUGUUUUUUAGUAUGAUUUUUAUGUUCGAUAUAUAUACUCUUUGUUUGUUUGUUAAAAUUGUCUUUCAUCCAUUUUCUUAUUGUCAUGUGGGAUUAUAUAAAGUAGAUUGGAUUGGGAACUGUCAUUUACCUUCUUAUACAUAUACUUAUAUAUAAGUAUAAGUGAUGAAAUGAGAUAAUAUCAAAGUGAUACAUUAGUAAAGAAACUAAAAUUUAUUUAGCCGAAUGGAAAUGGGCCAAUGUGUUCUAGAAUCCGUGUUACCAAUUAGUACCUAUUCGGUUUGUGGUUUGUAAACUAUGAAUUCAAUUUUUAAACUUUCGAUUUAUGGUUUGUAAUCUGAUUCGUAAUCACAAGAUGUACCUCAUGUGUUAGGUUUUAUUUAUUUGAAAUGAAAUAUUUUAAUUAAUUGGUAACAGUUUGCAAUGCUUAGAAAAUGAACACAUAAUUUUCACAGUCUCUCUAGCAUAUUAAUAUUUUCCAGCAGCAACUUAGAAAGGAAUAUGGUUUGCUACAUUCUUGCAAAAAACGCAAUCAUUCGUGCCAAAAAUGCAAUAAAUUUUGGACAGAAAUAUUAUAUCGUAAAUAUUAAAAUUUAUAUUCUUUUUAUAUAUUACAUAUAUUAAUAUGGAUAUAUAACCUAUAUUUCAAUUUUUGUAAUAAUAACAUUUUAAAUUUAAAAAAUAAUUGUAAAUGAUAAUUUAAUAUCUAUUAAAACCAAUAUUUUUAAUAUAUCACCCCAUAUACGAAAUGGGUAUAUAACCUAUAUUUAAAACUUAUUACUAUAAAAUUUAUAAGUUUUCUAAAUAAUUAUAAAUAUUGUUUUAAUAUCUAUAUAAGUUUUCUAAAUUUAUAAGUUUUCUAUAUUAGUAUUAAAUUUAUUAGUAUUAAAUUUAUAAGUUUUCUAAAUAAGUGUUCUAAAUUUAUUAGUAAUAAAAUUUAUUAGUAUUAAUUUUAUAAGUUUUCUAAAUAAUUAUAUAUAAGCUUAUAUAUAAGCUUGCAUAACUUACAUAAUAACUUACAUAACUUACAUAACUUACAUAAUACACCACUUACAUAACUUACAUAACUUAUAUAUAAUAACAUAAUAACUUACCUAACUUAUAUAUAAUAACAUAAUAAAUUACAUAAUACAUAAUAACAUAAUACAUAACUUAUGUAUAAGCUUGCAUAACUUACAUAAUAACUUACAUAACUUACACAACUUACAUAAUACACCACUUACAUAACUUACAUAGCUUACAUUCUACACAACUUACAUAACAUACAUAAUACAUAACUUACAUAAAAUACAACUUACAUAUCUUACAUAAUACAUAACUUACAUAAUACAACAUUUACACAAAUAACUUAUAUAACUUGCAUAACUUAUAUAAUAACAUAAUAACUAACAUAAUACAUAACCUACAUAACUUACAUAACUUACAUAAAUUAAAUAACUUACAUAACUUACAUAACUUACAUAAAUUAAAUAACUUACAUAACUUACAUAACUUACAUAGCUUACAUAACUUAAAUAACUUACAUAAUACAUAACCUUCCUAACUUACAUUAUUUACAUAAUACAUUGCCUACAUAACUUACAUAACUUACAUAACUUACAUAACUUACAUAAAUUAAAUAACUUACAUAACUUACAUAACUUACAUAACUUACAUAACUUACAUAAAUUAAAUAACUUACAUAACUUACAUAACUUACAUAAAUUAAAUAACUUACAUAACUUACAUAAUACAUAACCUUCUUAACUUACAUUAUACACAACUUACAUAAUUAAUAUUAUACACAACUUACAUAAUGCAUUACUUACAUAACUUACAUUACUUACAGUACUUUACUUACAGUACUUACAUAAUACAUAAUACAUAACUUACAUAACUUGCAUAAUACAUAAAAAUAUAACAUAUCAUAACUUACAUAACUCAUCUAUGGUUAUAACUGGCGUUUUAACUUACCCGUGCAAAUUAUUGUCAACGUCAGACUUCAAGAAUUAAGAAAUGGACCGGUCUUGGAUGAAUUUGUCAAGGGUAAGAAACUGUUAUCGAAAUGGAGUGGGAAGAACGUAAAUGAUGAAGUUAAAUGGCUCUCUCAAGGUCCAAAUCGAGUGGUUAAAAGAUAUAGUGCGUUCCUCAUCAAAGGAUUCAGAUUUCAUACAAAAUAUCGCGAGAGGUUGAGGAGAACGCAAAAUUGGGGAAUAGUUGUUAAUUCCUCAAUUACAAGUUAUGCUAGUGCUAGGGACAAUAAUCCUGUCGAGGGAAAUGUGGAAUAUUUCAGACUUCUUACUGACAUAAUUGAGUUGGAUUACUACGGCAAAUGGAAAGUUGUCUUAUUUUGAGGUGAUUGUACUGCUCGUGGAAUUAAGCAAGAUCAAUUUGGUUUUCCAAUGGUGAACUUCGCUCGAUUGGUUCACACAGGACAACAAUUGAUAGAUGAGCCGUAUGUAUUCUCAUCUCAAGUCAAACAAGGUUUUUACUCAAAAGAUCCAACUGAAGAGGGUUGGUACGUUGUACUCCGUAACAUCCCUAAAGACUUGUUUGACAUGGGCAGUGGAAGUAGAGAUAAGAUCGACGACAGAUCAGAAACUUUGUCCUUUUCCAGAACAAAACUUAAACGAUAAUAUCCCUAGUACUAGUACACAAUUUCAAUGGGUUCGUCAGGAUACGGAUGAAGAUAUUUACGAAUAAUGACAUCGUAAGAUUUUACGAUUGUUUAAUUAUAUGUAAUAUCAUAAUUUAAAUCUUGGUCUUAUUAUAUAUUUCAACUAUUUUAUAUGUGUUGUUAUUGUUGUAAUUAGUUAUUAAGUUUUCAACUAUUUUAUGUGUAUUGCAGAUAAAAUGCCUAGAAGAAAAAUUCCAAGGGGAAGCAUUGUUCAAAAUGAUCCAAACUCGACAGAAACAAAUAGUACUGAACAACAGACAGUAAUUGAAUCUUCGAAUGUUCCGAUUACACCUGAGGAUCCUACAGAAGUUCAAAGUAAUUUUACAUUUAAUUUACAUGCACGUUGACUUAUAAUUGAUUUAUUUUUCAAAUUCUUAAAUUAUAAUAUAUCAUUUGCAGCUGAAAAUGGUGGGACGCGCAGAGGUCGAGGACGUAUGCUACUUAGAGAUUUAUACGAGUUAGAUCCAGUCGAGCGUGUCAAGGUAUGCAGAAACAGUUUUGGUCAGCCUGUUGGAUAAGAAGCUCGACUUUUAGCAGGAUACAUGGGCAUUUUAGCACGAAAUGCGAAUAUGUUGCCUAUCAACUACGAGUCAUGGCAUCAAAUGCCCGAUAGCAACAAAAACCAAGCCUUCGAUAAUAUUAAGGUAACAAAAUGUUAGUGUCAUCUGUAAUGCUUGGGAAAUAGUUUCAUUUAUAUUUACUUUAUUAACUUGUGUUUUUUUGUAGGCGAGGUUUGCUUUAGAGGUCUCGGAUGCUUAUGUAAAGAAGGCAUUGGGAAAAAGAUUGAAGACCAUAAAAGUACUUUGAAGAAAUAUUAUUAUAAGACAAAAACAACUCUCAAUGAGAAAUUGCAAAAUGUCCCGCCGGGUAUGCUAAGGUACCAAUGGGAAGAUACGGUUAGAUUUUGGCAUUCGAAGAAAUGCGAGGUAUGACGUACGCCCAAACUAUUGUAAUUAUUUUGGUUUAUAGUAUUUACUAUUUACGUACUAAAAAUUUCAUAACGUAGGAUCGUGAACGAGUUGGAAAAAGCAGCAGGCAAAAACAAAAAUUCACUCACACAGCCGGGCCGAGAAGUUUUGCAUGUGUAGCUGAGGCGGAGGUAUUUUUAAUUUUUUAAUAUUGUCAAAUAUGUAUAACUUUCCAUUAAAUAAUAUUUUUACUACUAUAUUGUAGGAACGGUUGUCCGGUCAAAAAGUUGGAUGCCUUCAACUUUUUGAAAUUACACAUAGGAAGAAAGAUGGAUCUGCUAUGACUCCUGAAGCUGGUGAAAUUAUGGUACGUUUACUUAAUACGAUUUGACUUGUUUUAGUUAUGUAUAGUGUUUAUUUUCUAAUGGUUUAAUUCAUUGCUUGUAAUGCGACUAUUACUAUGUUGCAUUUGUUUUUUUUAAUAUAUAUUGCGUUCUUAACUAUGUGAUUUAUUUAUUAGGAAAAACUAAAGGAUAAAAAGGCGGAGUACGAAGCGAUUGCUUCUAGUGAUAGUUCUGUUCAUCCUGAAGACAUUGACAACCGGAUUAUUAUUGAAGUUUUGGCUCCUGAAAGGUAUGGUCGGGUUCGAUUUCAAGGAUCUUUUGUUAGCCCAGCCCAAUAUUUUGGAUCCAGCUCGCAGCAAUCACUACACCAAAAUAGACUUUUAGCGGCACUUUUAGAGGCGAUUGGACAAAAAAUGCCGCUGAAGAUCGAGAAUUAGCGGCGAUUCCAUCAAAGCGCUGCUAAAAUUAAGAAUUAGCGGCGUUUUUGUACAACGCCGCCAAAAAAUAAGCCCAACAGUAUCGUUUUGUGACCUUUUCAGGCUUUAGUGGCGUUUUUGCUCUCGCGUCGCUAAAUACUCGGUGCCUAUAGUGGUGCGUGAAUGAUAAACGCCGCAGAGAUAUUAAAGCAAAACGCAGGGUUCGGUGUUGAUAAAUUGUUGCUUUAGCGGCGCUAAUCUAGAAACGCCGCCAAAGAUCGGUAUUAACGGCGCUUAUAUACUAAACGCCACAGAAAGUUAACCAAAAUGCAUCGUUUAGCCUCGAGGUAUAGUGGCAUUUAGGGGCGCUUUAGUUACAACGCCACUAAAGAUCUUCAUUAGAGGUGAUUUCACCAUAGCGCCGCAAAAGAUGUUAAAACUAAACGCAGCGUUCGGUGUUCAUCAAUUGUGGCUUUAGCGGCGCAAACAUAAAAACGCCGCUAAAAAUCAAUAUUAAUGGCGCUUACCGGAUAAACGCCGCAGAAAGCUAACCAAAACGCAUCGUUUGGCCUUGAUGUAUGGUGGCAUUUAGCGGCGCUUUUAACCUAAACGCCACUAAUGAUCUUCAUUAACGGCGUUUUCGUUAAAAUGUCGCCGAGUCUGUUAAAACUAAAUGCAGCGUUUGGUUUUAAUCAAUUGCGAUUCCAGCGGCGCUAAUAAAAAAUCGCCGCGAAAGAUCAGAAUUAACGGCGCUUAACGAAUAAACACCGCAGAAAGUUAACCAAAACGCAUCGUUUGGCCUUGAUUUAUGGUGGCAUUUAGCGGCGCUUUAAACCGAACGCCACUAAAGAUCUUCAUUAGAAACGCCGUAAAAUAUGUUAAAACUAAACGCAGCGUUCGGUUUUGAUCAAUUCUGGAUUUCGCGGCGCUAAUUAAAAAACGCCGCUAAAGAUCGGUAUUAACGACGCUUAACUAGUAAACGCCGCAACAAGUUAACCAAAACGCAUCGUUUGGCCGUGAGGUAUAGUGGCAUUUAGCGGCGCUUUGCCUAAAAACGCCACUAGAGAUGUUAAAACUAAACGCAACGUUCGUUGUUGAUCAUUGUGGCAUUCGCGGCGCUAACAUAAAAUCGCCGCUAAAUAUCGGUAUUAACGGCGCUUGACAAAAACGGCGCAAGUAUUUAACCAAAGCGCAUCGUUUUGGCGGAGAGGUAUAUGGUCAUUAGUGGCGCUUUUAUUAAAAACGCCACUAAAGAUCAUCAUUAGCGGCGCACUUUUAUAAACGCCGCAACAAUAGUAAGUAAAAUGACGUUGUUUUUGUUCUUUCGUGGCGUUUAAUUUAUAAACGCCGCAAUAAAAUUAUUGUAUUUUUCCAAUCUAGGAUUUAGAAUUUAAGAUUUAAUGUUAAUGGAUUAGAGUUUUAGGGUCUAUGAUAUACUCUUUAGGAUUUUGGGUUAGAAAUCUAAAAUUUGGGGUUUAAGGGUUAAGGAUACUGUUUGAAAAUUAAAGAAUAACAUUUGGUAUUUACGGGAUUUAUGCGAUUUUGUACUACGUACACCCAUAUUAUAUAUUAAAUAUAAGAAUAUAAAUUAUAUAUUUCGUACUACAAUAACAUUGGCCACACCCGAAUUUCCAGAGAUAUGGUUUAAGGUUUACAGUUUAUUUAAAGUUUAGGGUUUGGGUUUUAUGGUUUAAAGAUUUAGGGUAUAUUUGGGGAUUGUAUUUUGGGGUUUGGUAUAUAUUGUUGUUAAUUUGUGGUUUACGGGUUUAAUGUUAGUAGUUUAAGGUUUAAGAUUUAUGGUUAAGGUUUACGGCAUAUUGAGGACUUGGAUUUUAGGGUUUGGUGGUUUAGUGUUUUGUGGUUUAUGAGUUUUAUGUUUAUGGUUUAAGGUUUACAACUUACGAUUUACGAUUGAGGGUUUUGUGUUUAAUCUUGGAUUUUUAUUUAGAAUAUAAAUUAAUGUAAAUAAGAUUAUAAAUAUAAUCUAUUAUAUUUAAGGAAAAAAACAUCAAAAUGUGUUAAAUCCCAAAAGCAUACAUGAACAAUAUUGGUUUAAUGUUCAAUUGUAUACAUUAACUUAUAAUUAAAUUGAUCCAUAUCUUGUAAAAUAUUAACACAAUUCUCUAUCAAAUUAACAUCAUUUUUAAUUUAUAUAUUGUUUUUAUACAUAAAUAUUUAUAUUUAUUCAAUAUAAAAAUAUAUUGAUUCUCACAUUCUUUUUAAAUUGUGUAUUUGUUUUUAAAGGAUGCAUUAUUCUCUUUUUUAUUACAUAAUAUUUUCUAUUGUAGAUAUAAUUUUAAAUAAAUUAAAAACAUUUUUAAAAUUUGUUGAAUUUUGAAAUAUUUAUUAGGCAUUAGCGGCGUUUAUCUAAAACACGCCGCAAAAGUAAUUUCAAUUUAGCACAAAAUGGCAUCGUAUUUUCUGGUUUUUGUAGUGGCAGUGGUGGCGCUUAGCAGAAACGCCGCAAUAGGUGAGGUAUUAACGGCGCAAUUUGUGAAAACGCCGCCAAACAUUAUUGAAGAGUUGGCAAAACAGCGUCGUUUUCGACAUGUUAUUAGCGGCGUUUUAUUUUAAAAUGCCACAAAGUUUUGCAAACUGUUUUCGAAAUGACUUCGAUUUAGCUUAGAGAGGUUGCGUAACGACCACGUUUUGUUUAGGGUUUACUGGCGUUUUACCUAUAAACGCCACAAAUGGAUUAAGUUGUAGACGAAAACGGCGUCGUUUACUCUCCAGCCAUAUGAUUCCCACACUAAAACCUGAAAUCCCAAAUUUUCCCCAUUUCCCCCAUUUCCAGAUUAAUUUCCAAUUAUCCCUAACCCCAAACCCUUUCAAUUUGCGCCAUCUGAAAAAUCGACCAUCACAUCCGCCGUUGUCUUUGUCCGGGCCGAUCACCUGCUGCGCAAACAUCAGAAGCUCGAGCAUCUCCUUCACCGUUGGACUACUACGGCCGUCGUCAUCGGUUAGUUUCUAGUCAGGCAUUCAUGUGUCAUUUUAGAGAAUCCUGUCGAUACACAAAUAAUGGGUUUUUGGCAUGCUAUAAUUCUCUUUGUUCCUUGCUGCUGCUUCUUGAUUUUAGGGGUUUCCUGGCUUGAUUUUCUUCAAUUUCUUGCUGAUUUUGAUUUUGUGCUAUGUGGUAUUUUGGGUGGCUGCUAAGAAAUGAGAUGAUAGACCAUUAUUUUGAACUUGAUAAUUUCUUUAAUCUUUAUUAGAGUUUGUUGAACAGAAUCAGUAAUAUUGGUGAGGAUUAUGUUAUGUUGUUAGCAGCAGUUUAUCAUCUAUUUAGUUGUAUAUAAAUUCAUUCUUCUGGAUCAAGCUAUUUGCUCAAUUUGUUAUAAGAAAUCAGAGUAUAUUGUUUUAAAGUUAUUGUGUUUUUUUGUGAGAUUCUUUGAAUUUUAAAAUCUAAAGAGCUUUGGGAUUGUUUUAAAACAAUAACACCGAAAGACUGGUAGAAACAGAGAGAAACGUUGAUGUGCUGGGAUUUGCUUUCAAAUAUAUAUAAAAGAAAUAAUAGUUUGUAAAGCCUGUUUUUGGGGGGGCUAAUAUAUAAAGCCUGUUGUUUUUUGCCUUUAAAUUUUCUUUUUUUGGUCAAUGUUUUUCCUUAAAAUUUAAGCUUGAAUUAUUACAUGAGCAUUGAGCAGUCAAGAAGAUAGAAACCUUAAUAAUUUAUUAUUUAUUUACAGAAAAAUGUAAAGCUGUAAAUGUCUGUCCAAUAAUUUUUCCUGCUAGAACUUGGUGCCACUAACUAGCUGACAAUUCCUUCAAAACCCAAUCAUUCAUAUGUUUAUAUAUAUAGAUUUGAUAUUGAUAAUUUUUCCUGCUAGAACUUGAUAUGUCAAUCAAGAGCUUUAUAAUUAGUCUUCAAGUUAAUCGAAAAAGCUUGCGUACACAUAUUACUUCUGGCGUAAUAAACUUUUUGAAUACAUCAUCAUACAUAAGCUAAGAUGGAACAUAAUCAGUUAAAACAACACAAAUAUAUAUAUAUACAUAUUAGUAUUCAUUUCUACUUUUUCCUUUUAUUAAAAUUCUGGUUUGGUGUUUUUUGGGUACUCAUUUAGUUGUGUUUUUUGUUUGGCAGCCGUCUGCUCUGAUAUUUGGAAAAUUUGAGGUAUUUAUUCAUAUAUUUCCAUAGAUUGUUUUAUUAAAAAAACACCUCCAAAUUUUUAAAUUUCGUAUUUGGUUAUAUGUUUGCUUUUAUAGUUUACUUAUGAUUUUCGAGUUUUCAAAUGGGUUUACAUGACCAAUUUUUGCGUUAUAUAUUUGUAUCCCAAUUUACGCGUAAUUUUGCAGCCUAUUACAUAAUUUAAUAAUUCUAAAGCAUAAUUUUAUUUUCUCCCCGUAUUAUGUACCCAAGCAAAAGCAAUUACACAAAUUGAUCGAUUAGUUUAUUCGGUUUAAUGUGAAUUAUUUAUGGGUUUACGAUUUUAUGAUAAUGAAUUAUCAAUUUUACUUCUAAUUUAAUAAAUUAUCGCCGUUAGAUGUGACUUGCAUACUUUAAUGUAUGUGUUUAAUUAUCUUUUAAAUACAAUAAAGUCAUCGAUUAAUUGAUUCAAUGUCAAUGAAUUACCCAUUUAUAAUACAUACAUUACAUAACUUAUUAAUAUAUUUAUGGAUAAAUGAUACAUAACUUACAUAUCAUUUUUAAUACAUAACUUAUAUAAUACGACAUAACUUAUUAAUAUAUAUAUUUUAAAAUGAUACAUAACUUACAUAACUUAUUAAUACAUAACUUAUAUAAUACACAACUUACAUAAUACGACAUAACUUAUUAAUAUAUUUAUGGAUAAAUGAUACAUAACUUACAUAACUUAUUAAUACAUAACAUUUUUAAUACAUAACUUACAUAAUACGACAUAAUAACAUAAAUAUAUAUCAUAUGAUAACUUAGAUAGUGAAAUAAUACCAAUGAAGUUAACAACUUACCCUUGUAAUUUUUGCUGAAAAUCAGACUUGCAAGAAUUAAGAAAUGGACCGGUCUUGGAUGAAUUUGUCAAGGAUAAGCAACGAAUAUAGAAAUGGAGUACAAACUUUUUUGAAUUUUGCAUUUCAAUAAAUUAAAUAACUUACAUAACUUACAUAAAUUAAAUAACUUACAUAAAUUAAAUAAAUUACAUAACUUACAUUACAUAAUACAUAAAAAUAUAUCAUAUCACAAAUUUCUGUAUUUCAUUUAUGGUUAUAACUGGCGUUUUAACUUACCCGUGCCAAUUAUUGUCAACGUCAGACUUCAAUAAUUAAGAAAUGGACCGGUCUUAGAUGAAUUUGUCAAGGGUUAGCAACGGUUAUCGAAAUGGAGUACAGUAUUUUCUAAAUUUUGCAUUUCAAUAUGCAAGCCAAGAGAACAUGAAUCUUUGCCCGUGUAAGAAGUGCGUCAAUAUAAACUGGCAUUAUCGUUAGGUUGUAUACGAGCAUCUAAUUGUUGAUGGGUUUGUUCGGGGUUAUAAACAAUGGUUAUUUCAUGGAGAAUGCCCGUCUAGUACUUCCUCUUCAGCGAUGGAUGUAUCUUAUCCUGGUACUGCUUACUAUCAGUCUAAUAGAGGGGAUGACAUGGAAGGUAUGUUGCGGGAUGUAUUUAAUAUGCACAAUCAUGGUGUCCAGUCGUUCCCAGCGGACUUGGCAGCUUCUGAUGAUUGUAAUAUUGGGAGAAAUGCUUUUACCGAACCGGGAAGUAGUUUACCUCAUAAAGAGCCGAAUGAAGAAGCGGUGAAGUUCUACGCGCUACUUAAUGACAUGAACGAAGAACUGUAUGAGGGAUCAAAAUUUUCAAAAAUGUCUUUCUGUGUUCGUCUUUUUCAAUUAAAAUGUUUGGGAGGGUGGACCAGAAACUCUUUGACAAUGCUGUAAGAGUUUUUGAGAGAAAUGUUUCCGUUUGCAAAAAUCCCUCAGUCAUGCAAAGAUAUGAAGAAAAUGAUAAAAGAUUUAGGCCUUGGGUACAACAAAAUCCAUAGUUGCCCAAAUGAUUACAUGUUGUAUUGGGGCGAUCGAAAAACCAACAGUGCUGUCAUGUAUGCGGCCAAUCCCGUUGGAUUAGUAGAAACACAGAAAAUGGGAAGGACGAUGAAAUGAUGCACAGUCGAGAAAGAAGCCAGUCAAGAUUUUGCGGUAUUUUCCCCUGAUACCAAGGCUUCAAAGGCUUUUCGUGUCGUCCAAGACAGCGGAGUCAAUGACGUGGCACCAUGAUGGACGAACCGAUGAUGGAUUACUAAGGCAUCCGGCAGAUUCUUUAGCUUGGAAAUCAUUUGACAAUAAAUUUCCAAGCUUUGCAAGCGAUCCUAGGAGUGUGAGGCUUGGGCUAGCAUCUGAUGGAUUUAAUCCUUUCAAGAUCAUGAGCACUGCGUACAGUACUUGGCCAGUAGUACUUGUUCCUUACAAACUGCCUCCGUGGAUUUGCAUGAAGUAAUCUUUCCUUAUCUUAUCUAUGAUUAUCCCUGGUGAGAAAGGGCCAGGGAAUGAUAUCGACAUUUAUUUACAGCCACUUAUUGAAGAGUUAAAACAAUUAUGUGCAGGUGUCGAGACAUACGAUGUGCUGAGAAAGGAUAACUUUAAUUUACGUGCGGCUUUGAUGUGGACCAUUAAUGACUUUCCCGCUUAUGCCAAUUUAUCCAGUUGGAGUACCAAGGGUCGUUAUGCGUGUCCUUGUUGUGCUGCACAAACAUGUUCCCAAUGGUUGUACAAUGGGAAUAAGUUUUCUUACAUGGGGCAUCGUCGGUAGUUACCGAAAAAUCAUAGAUUUAGAUUUCAGAGUUCUGUAUUUGACGGCACUGAAGAGUUCAGAGAAGCUCCUUCCCAGACCAGUGGCUCUGAAAUCUUGUUCAUGUUGGAAGAUAUGAAUUUCAUUUAUGGGAAGAUGAACCAACCGCCAAACACGCAAAGAAAUAGAAGAUCAAAUGAUGAAGUUAAUGAUGACUCCGACGAAGAGGACGAUCGGAAUGAGGCAGACUUGUGGAAAAAAAGAAGUAUUUUUUUUGAGUUGCCUUAUUGGGAGCAUCACAUUUUACGACACAAUCUCGAUGUUAUGCACAUUGAGAAAAAUGUCUGUGAGAACAUUGUGGGUACAAUUUUGAAUGUCGACGGAAAAUCAAAAGACAAUCUUCAAAGUCGACUUGAUUUAGUCCAAAUGGGAAUUCGGCCUGAUCUUCAUCCCAAUCCACUUCCGAAUGGAAAAUAUCGGUUGCCGCAUUCUAUUUUCUCAAUGUCCAAAACGAAGAAAGAACUGUUUUGUAUGGUGCUGAAGGAUAUGAAGGUUCCAGAUGCGUAUGCAUCAAAUAUAUCUCGAUGUGUUAGUGUUAAAGAUCGAAGAUUAUAUUCGCUAAAAUCACAUGACUAUCACAUCUUGAUGCAAGAUUUACUGCCAGUUGCUCUACGAUGUUGUAUGCCCAAGAAGGUGACGUCUUGUAUCAUUGAACUAUCCAACAUAAUGAAAGCCAUUUGUGGCAAGGUUUUGGAUGUUCAAGAACUUCAGAAGUUACAGGAUCGAGCCACUUUGACUUUAUGCAACAUGGAGAAAAUCUUCCCACAUUCCUUCUUCACCAUUAUGGUUUACUUGAUAAUCCAUCUCCCGCACGAAGUAAUUCUUGGCGGACCCGUUUUCUAUCGGUGGAUGUAUCCCAUAGAAAGGUGUUAAUUAAAAUUUUUAAAAUUUUCCUUCAUUCACCUCUAUGCCUUUAGUUACAACUUUUGAUAAUGUUGUAUAUUGUGUUUAGGUUCCUAUCCAAAUUAAAGUCUUACUGCCGCAACAAGUGAUAUCCAGAAGGAUCGAUUGCUGAAGGCUACUUGGCAGAGAAAUGUAUGACCUUCUGCUCAAGAUAUUUGGAAGAUGUCGAAACAAGGUUGAACAGACCAAAUAGGAAUGCUGGACUCACGGACUAUAACUUAGCCGACACUUAUUUGUUCCAAAGUUUUGGAGAACCAAUCGGCAAAGUUGAAAUUGCAGAAUUAGAUCAUUUAUCGUGGGUACAAGCACAUCGAUAUGUUCUGUUUCACCAUGAAUCAUUGGAACCUUUACGGAAGUAAGUUCUACAAAUUUUAUAAAUAUUUAUCAAACUAAAAAUUGUUUAUCUUCUAACAAAGAUCACAUUUUUUUAACAUAGUGAGUACAAACAAAUAUUGAGAUCUCGUUCGCGCUCCCGAAGAACACAACAUCGAGAUAUCAAUAAGUUGUUUACAGAAUCUUUUUAUGAAUGGUUAAGCCAAACGGUAUGCAGUUGGAGCUUCCGCUUACAAAUAAUAAUGCUUUCUCAUAACAUUUUUAAUUACUUAGUUUACUUUCCAUUCAAUAGGUUUGGAGUGGGAAGAACAUAAACGACGAAGUUAAAUGGCUUUCCCAAGGUCUAAAUCGAGUGGUUAAAAGAUAUAGUGCGUUCCUCAUCAACGGAUUCAGAUUUCAUACAAAAUAUUGCAAAAGGUUGAGGAGAACGCAAAAUUGUGGAAUAGUUGUUAAUUCUGCAAUUACAAGUUAUGCUAGUGCUAGGGACAAUAAUCCUGUCGAGGGAAAUGUGGAAUAUUUCAGAAAUCUUACUGACAUAAUUGAGUUGGAUUACUACGGAAAAUGGAAAGUUGUAUUAUUUCAAGGUGAUUGGGCCGAUGUUAAUACAGCUCGUGGAAUUAAGCAAGAUCAAUUUGGUUUUACAGUGGUGAACUUUGACCGAUUGAUUCAUACAGGACAACAACUGAUAGAUGAACCGUAUGUAUUCUCAUCUCAAGUCAAAAAAGUUUUUUACUCAAAAGACCCAGUCGACGAGGGUUGGUACGUUGUACUCCGUAACAUCCCUAGAGACUUGUUUGACAUGGGCAGUGGAAGUAGAGAUAACAUCGACGACAGAUCAGAAACUUUGUCCUUUCCAGAACAAAACUUAAACGAUAAUAACCCUAGUACUAGUGCACAAUUUCAAUGGGUUCGUCAGGAUACGGAUGAAGAUAUUUACGAAUAAUGAUGUAGUAAGAUUUUACGAUUGUUUAAUUAUAUGUAAUAUCAUAAUUUAAAUCUUGGUCUUAUUAUAUAUUUCAACUAUUUUAUAUGUGCUGUUAUUGUUGUAAUUAGUUAUUAAGUUUUCAACUAUUUUAUGUGUAUUGCAGAUAAAAUGCCUAGGAGAAAAAUUCUAAGGGGAAGCAUUGUUCAAAAUGAUCCAAACUCGACAGAAACAAAUAGUUCUGAACAACAGACAGCAAUUGGAUCUUCGAAUGUUCCGAUUACAUCUGAUGAUCCUAUAGAAGUUCAAAGUAAUUUUACAUUUAAUUUACAUGCGUGUUGACUUAUAGUUGAUUUAUUUUUCAAAUUCUUAUAUUAUAAUAUACCAUUUGUAGCUGAAAAUGGUGGGACGCGCAGAGGUCGAGGACGUACGCUACUUAGAGAGUUAUACGAGUUAGAUCCAGUCGAGCGUAUCAAAGUUGUACGAAACAGUUUUGGUUAGCCUGUUGGAUCAGAAGCUCGACUUUUAGCAGGAUACAUGGGCAUUUUAGCACGAAAUCUAAAUAUGUUGCCUAUCAACUACGAGUCAUGGCAUCAAAUGCCCGAUAGCACCAAAAACCAAGCCCUCGAUAAUAUUAAGGUAACAAAAUGUUAAUGUCAUCUGUAAUGCUUGGGACAUAGUUUCAUUUAUAUUUACUUUAUUAACUUGUGUUUUUUGUUUUUUGUAGGUGAGGUUUGCUUUAGAGGUCUCAGAUGCUUAUGUAAAGAAGGCAUUGGGAAAAAGAUGGAGAGACAAUAAAAGUACUUUGAAGAAAAAAUAUUAUAAGACAAAAACAACCCUCAAUGAGAAAUUGCAAAAUGUCCCGCCGGGUAUGUUGAGGUACCAAUGGAAAGAUGCGGUUAGAUUUUGGCAUUAGAAGAAAGGCGAUGUAUGAUGUACUUCCAAACCAUUGUAAUUAUUUUGGUUUAUAGUAUUUUCUAUUUACGUACUAAAAAAUUCAUAACGUAGGAUCGUGAACAAGUUGGAAAAAGCAGCAGGCAGAAACAAAAAUUCACCCACACAGCCGGGUCGAGAAGUUUUGCAUGUGUAGUUGAGGCGGAGGUAUUUUUAAUUUUUUAAUAUUGUCAAAUAUUUAUAACUUUCUAUUAAAUAAUAUUUUUACUACUAUAUUGUAGGAACUGUCGUCCGGUCAAAAAGUUGGACGCCUUCAACUUUUUGAAAUUACACAUAGGAAGAAAGAUGGAUCUCCCAUGACUCCUGAAGCUGGUGAAAUAAUGGUAAGUUUACUUAAUAUGAUUUGACUUGUUUUAGUUAUUUAUAGUGGUUAUUUUUUAAUGGUUUAAUUCAUUGCUUGUAAUGCGACUGUUGUUAUGUUGCAUAUGUUUUUUAAUAUAUAUUGCGUUCGUAAUUAUGUGAUUUAUUUAUUAGGAAAAACUAAAGGAUAAAAAGGCGGAGUACGAAGCGAUUGCUUCUAGUGAUAGUUCUGUUCAUCUUGAAGACCUUGAUAACCGAAUUAUUACUGAAGUUUUGGGUCUUGAAAGGUAUGGUCGGGUUCGAUUUCAAUGAUCUUUCGUUAGCCAAACCCAAUAUUUUGGAUACAGCUCGCAACAAUACAUGGCUUCGGGGAGUCAGGCUCAAGCUGAAGUUCAGAGGUUAAAAGACCAGAUGACUCAGAUGCAAGCUACCACAGCUGAGGUUCAAAGGAAAUAUGAAGAACUCCAGUUACAACUUAAAGCAGAGGCGGCAGCGAGGGAAGCAAAGGCUGCAGCGAGAGAAGCAGAAGUUUAAAAAAAAUAAAGAACUCCAGCUACAACUUAAAGCAGAUGUGGCAUCGAGAGAAGCAGAGCAAAGCAAAAAGUACGAUGAACUUCAACAGCAGCUUCAGAUUAUGAUGAAGAUGUUUCAACAAUUGCAACUUCCGCCGUCAUAGUGUAUUGCAUAAUUAUUUUUACCAUUUUAACUUUUAACAUUUUUGUAAAGAAAAGUAUGAAUUCACUUUUAUUUAUUGAUAUUAAUAUUAUUUUAUUCGUUUAAUUUGAAAUAUUAUAUAAAUUUAUUGCUUUUGGCUGGUUUAGAUCUGGUUGCUUUUGAUUUGUUGUUACAGGAGGGCUGAAAAAAUGAAAAUUUUUAUUUUACAAAAAUCUCAAAAUUAGUGGCGUUUUUUAUAAAAGCGCCGCUAAAAGUCAUGUUCUAUAGCGGCGUUUGUGAAGUAAGCGCCGCUAUAGAACAUUUCUUUUCACGGCGUUUGUGAAGAAAGCGCCGCUAAAGAACAUGAUCUUUAGCGGCAUCUUUUUUUAAGCGCCUCUAAAGAACAUGAUCUUUAGCUGCGUCUUUUUUUAAGCGCCACUAAAGAAUAUGACCUUUGGCGGCGUUUUUUUCGAAGCGCCACUAAAGAACAUGACCUUUAGCGGCGUUUUUUUUCUGUAAACGUUAGCGACGUUGUCGUUAGCGGCGUUUUUUGCGGCGCUUGUUAGUGGCGCUAAAAAACGCCGCUAAAGGCCUAAAAAAACGCCGCUAAAAACUUGUUCUGGUGUAGUGCUGAUAGCUGAAAGUUGAUAUGCGUAAAAUGACAAAUAAAUGCAUAUCACAUUUUAUUGUUAAGUAUUUAUUUGUUUAUAAUACUUUAGUCUUUAUUAAGUGAAAUUAUUGAAAUAAAACAUUAUUACCAAGGAAUUAAAACAUCCAUUACGAAAAUUAAUUAGUGAAUAUUUUUGAAAAUUUAAAUAAACAAAAUUCUUAAGUUUCUUAUUUGCAAAUAUUAACAUUGUAGAAAUUGAUAAAUUUUAAAAGUGUAUCAAUAUAAUUGUAAACUAUAUUCUUAGUGAUAAUUAUGUCAUGUUCUUAGUAUGUAAAUUAAUGAUAAUUAUGUCACACUUUGAAUAAAUUUGUCAAGUAGCAUAUUUCGAUUAAUAUUAAAUUGCAUAAGAAAUUAUUUUACGCAAGUAAAUUGAAAAUAAAUUAAGAGUAUAUAAAUAUUCAAGAAAUAGAUACAUGUGGCAGUGGGAGUAAUUUUUGAACAAGCAUGGUCAGAUAUGUCAUUCAAUAUAUCUCAUUCAUAAUCCACAGUGAAAAAGAUUGUCCAUCCCAGUGUUUUUUGUUUUGGAGGUUUUAGCUCAACAAGCUCUUUUAAACCUCCAUUCACCAAACACUACAAUUAGAGAUUUGACUAUCCAAUCCUUCACUUGUGCCCAAAUCAAAUAAAUAAAUAAAAAAACUCAAAACUCCGUUUAUCAAACUCCCCCAGAACUCCCUAUUCUUUAAAUUAAAGUAAACUAAAAACUCUAAUAAUCCUAAAAAAAAACUCUUAUUAAUUUAAUCUAUUAAGAUUCUUAAUUAUCUAAAAAAAACCCAAUUAAAACUUCCUCACGUCAUUUUUUUAUUUUUUAUUUAUUUUUCCACUAAUUCUCAUUUAUAAAUAUGAUGAAUACUUUUAUAAAAAACUCUCAAGUCACUUUCUUUUGUACCCCAAACCCGACCUAAAUGUUAUGGCUAAAUCUUGAAUUGUUACUUAAUAUGAUUGAAAACUUAGUUUUUUGAGUAAACUUUCAAAAUCUCAAUUUUAUUCAAAGUCAUUUCUUAUCGUUCUAAUUACUAAAAACGUUGCUCGGUGUAUAUUUUAUAAAUUUCGCAGUGAAAGACUCCUAAAAAGGUAACAUUUGAGAAACACGGUUCAAUGUUCUUGCACAAAAAGAAAUUGCGUCAAUUAAACAUUUAAGUGGUAUUAAGCUAAAUACGAAAAUAAAGUUCUAAAUCCCAAAACAGUCCAAAAAAAAUCACAGGAAUGGACAGAGAAUAGAACGUGAGAACAAAACCUUUUAAUUUAAUUAAUAUUUUUUUAAAAUAAAAUAAAAUCCCACCGAACCCACAUAAACAAAACAAAUUAUGGUCAUAUCACUCAUGAAGGGACUCAAACCUCAAACCUACUAAAACAGAUUCUGAAUUAUAUGACAAAAAUCUAACAAAUCAUCUAUAUGAAUUUAUGGAGUGUUACAUUUAAAUAUGAUUUUUUUAUCAAAUUUAUUUAAAAUUACAAAUUUAAUAAUAUAAUAAACCAUAAAAAAUGUAUUAGUCGGUUCAAAAGUUGUACUGAACUCGUGUUUUUAUAAAUAUAGAUAAUAUAAGAUUAUUAUAUUUAUGUAGUAAUAAGUUUUUGACAUCUUAUAAACUAAUAAUUAAACAUAUAUAAUUGUAACACGAUAGAAUUAUAUAGGGGAAGAGUGCGAAGUUUACUACAGGAGUUUUGCAUGAUUGCAUCUAUACUUUUCCAUUUUGUCAUCUUUUUCUAUUGCUUUGAAUUGAGCUUGGUUUGGUCGACGUUUCCUAGUGGGUGAUCUUUCUAAUCCUAUAGUGGGAAUCAGCCAAUGUUGACUCCUUUUUUGUUGCUAUCUAGAUUUAAAGACCAAAGGUAACACGCUACCAAGGGGUUUGGAAAAUUUUCAAUCCAUGAACGAAGCUACAGUUGUACGAUCUACUUCUAUAAAUGGACGACCUUCUUGAUAAUUUCAUCUACUCACAACUCUUUUUUUCUGUCCAACAAGUCUCUCCAAUGGUGGGUGAAGCAAAGUUGAUAGAAAAUAGGGUGGAAAAACCCGUCUCCACAGAUGGUUUAUUUCGUUUUAUUAAAUCAGUCAUUUCCGAUGAACAACAAGAAGAAACAGGCCCAUUUUACGUGCUGGAUUUGGGUGCUACGAGGUCCCUAGUCGAGACAUGGUUCCAUAAUCUUCCCAUGGUUCAACCUUUCUAUGCAGUCAAAUCCAACCCUAACCCCGCUUUCCUCAAAGAAAUGGCAGCUCUCGGCACCGGCUUUGACUGUGCAAGCCUUCCUGAGAUUGAAACCAUUUUAUCGCUUGGGGUUUCGCCUGAUCGAAUCGUUUUCGCAAACACAUGCAAACCCGAGUCUCACAUCAAGUAUGCAACUAAAGUUGGCGUUAACUUAGCCACUUUCGACUCCAACUGUGAGCUCGAAAAGAUAAAGAAGUGGCACCCGAAAUGUGAACUGUUGAUCCGAAUCAAAGUCCCGGAAGCCAGUGGUUCAGCAUUCAUGUUCGGUUCCAAAUUCGGUGCACUCCCUGAGGAAAUUGUUCCCCUUCUGAAAGCUGCUCAAGAAGCGAAGCUCCAAGUUGUCGGAGUCUCGUUUCAUAUUGGGACUGGAGCAAUUAACUUCCAUUCAAUCCAAGGUGCCAUCGAAGCAGCUAAAACAACGUUCGACUUUGCAGCUCAACUUGGGCUACCUAAAAUGCAUAUCUUAGACAUCGGUGGAGGCUUCACAUCAGGUCCAAAGUUUACCGAUGCAGCCUCCGCCGUGAAAGUUGCUUUACAAAAAUAUUUCCCUGGUGAGCUAGCUGAUAGUAGCUUAAAAAUCAUUGCGGAACCUGGUUACUUCUUUUCUAAUUCGCCAUUUACAUUAGCGACAAGCAUAGUAGGGAAACGAGAAAGGGGAGACGUUAAAGAGUACUGGAUUAACGACGGAGUUUGGGGGUCUAUGAACAUUUUGAAGGACGAGCAUGACGAAGUGAUUUGCA
This 29935-nucleotide long non-coding RNA is filed under the name Gossypium barbadense (sea-island cotton). RNAcentral describes it as "long non-coding RNA (GBAR_LNC021125)". Lineage: Eukaryota; Viridiplantae; Streptophyta; Magnoliopsida; Malvales; Malvaceae. The record is from RNAcentral.